GAUUGACUGUGGGGGUUUCUGCCCCCCGGAAGCCAGCUUUUUCGGGGCUCCGGGGCUCGCCGGUUCUUCCAAAGAGAAAAAGGACAAAAGGCCGGCGUCCAUGUUGGCAUCAUGACGCAGCAUCUCUCUCCCGCCUGCAGCCCGGCGCUGCUCGUCCUCCGGGCCGCGCUCGCUCCUCCCUCCCAAACACGAGUUUUAUUUUCAGGUUUUUGAACCGAGCCGAGGGCUGGGUCGGGUUGGAGCCAAGGCUGAAGCCUCCCGGCCGUUCAAUACUGCUCUCUGGCUAAUGGCGGCCGGCUUUCCUCCUUCCUUCCGCCAUCCUGCUUUUCCCCGGUUGUCGCUGGGAGCCGAGGCAGCCCCGGGCCCUAAGAGCCUGCCAGGUCUUGGCCGGAGACCGGAGCAAUGUCUGUGUUAUCCCCCACUGUAGACAAUCGUUGCUUCCUCUGGACAUCUGGAGCAGGCCCAAUUUGACCGACAGCCUUCCCCGCUAAGAAGUGAAUUCUCCCCUUGGCAAACUGCAGCCAGCCAGCCUCCUGGGUCGAGAGCCAAAAGAUGACUGCGAGAAGAAACCUGGGGUCCUGCAAAGGUAAGUGGGUCCCAGCCCACACCAAAUCUCCCUCUCAAUCUCCCUCUCUUUG
Molecule: long non-coding RNA, 638 nt
Filed under: Mus pahari (shrew mouse)
Lineage: Eukaryota; Metazoa; Chordata; Mammalia; Rodentia; Muridae
Description: lncRNA (MGP_PahariEiJ_G0005337.1)
Source: RNAcentral